UUUACAGGCCUCUCAAUUGCUUAUUUUAACUUUGGAAACCAGCUCUACCACUCCCUGCUAUGUAUUGUGCUUCAGUUCCUCAUCCUUCGACUAAUGGGCCGCACCAUCACUGCCGUCCUCACUACCUUUUGCUUCCAGAUGGCCUACCUUCUGGCUGGAUAUUAUUACACAGCCACCGGCAACUACGAUAUCAAGUGGACAAUGCCACAUUGUGUUCUGACUUUGAAGCUGAUUGGUGAGUGAUGGUCACUGCCUGCCUUCCUUACAUGUAGGUCCCUCCCCCAUCUCACUAAAAACUUCCUCGGCACCCCCCCCGCCAUACACUUCUGGCUGCACUCAGUCUACAGGCCACAUCCUCAGUGUCCUCUCCCACCACCCUACCCACCCGUUCUCUCUCUGCUCAGGUUUGGCUGUUGACUACUUUGACGGAGGGAAAGAUCAGGUAAGUACCCAUUCAUCCGCAGAGAGGUUCAAGAC
RNAcentral lists this small RNA (477 nucleotides) under Pongo abelii (Sumatran orangutan). RNAcentral's name for it is "processed transcript". Lineage: Eukaryota; Metazoa; Chordata; Mammalia; Primates; Hominidae. The record is from RNAcentral.